GACGAACGCUGGCGGCGUGCUUAACACAUGCAAGUCGAACGAAGAGCGAUGGAAGCUUGCUUCUAUCAAUCUUAGUGGCGAACGGGUGAGUAACGCGUAAUCAACCUGCCCUUCAGAGGGGGACAACAGUUGGAAACGACUGCUAAUACCGCAUACGAUCUAAUCUCGGCAUCGAGGAUAGAUGAAAGGUGGCCUCUACAUGUAAGCUAUCACUGAAGGAGGGGACUGCGUCUGAUUAGCUAGUUGGAGGGGUAACGGCCCACCAAGGCGAUGAUCAGUAGCCGGUCUGAGAGGAUGAACGGCCACAUUGGGACUGAGACACGGCCCAGACUCCUACGGGAGGCAGCAGUGGGGAAUCUUCCGCAAUGGACGAAAGUCUGACGGAGCAACGCCGCGUGAGUGAUGACGGCCUUCGGGUUGUAAAGCUCUGUUAAUCGGGACGAAAGGCCUUCUUGCGAACAGUUAGAAGGAUUGACGGUACCGGAAUAGAAAGCCCGC
This 498-nucleotide ribosomal RNA is filed under the name Veillonella parvula. Its description in RNAcentral is "bacterial SSU rRNA". It matches the Rfam family "Bacterial small subunit ribosomal RNA", at positions 28 to 495 of the family's 1533-position model. The record is from RNAcentral. Lineage: Bacteria; Bacillati; Bacillota; Negativicutes; Veillonellales; Veillonellaceae.